Molecule: RNA transcript, 2078 nt
Organism: Syzygium oleosum
Lineage: Eukaryota; Viridiplantae; Streptophyta; Magnoliopsida; Myrtales; Myrtaceae
Gene name: probable bifunctional methylthioribulose-1-phosphate dehydratase/enolase-phosphatase E1
Exons: 12
Source: RefSeq, a predicted model, not a curated record
CCACAUUUCAUUUCAUUUGGUGUUUUCCUGGAUGCGUACGUGAAAGACAGCCGUACCGUUUUUUCUCUCUCUCUUAUCCUUCGCAAAGGCAAGACAAAGGCUGCUCUGCAACGCAGCCCUCCGCUUUAAGCUCAGAAUCGCCAUUUCUCUCUCUCUCUAAAACGGACCAGAUGGCCGCCGCGACGGCGACGCCGGAGAACGGCGGCGGGGGAGUGGCGACUGCUUCUCAGGCAUACCUGGAGAGCCAGGCGGUGAAGGACACCAGGAGCCUGAUGUCGGAGCUCUGCCGCCACUUCUACACCCUCGGGUGGAUGUACGGGACGGACGGCAGCAUCGCCAUGAGGGUCCACGACGACUCCGUCCCGCGGCCUCACCAGCUCAUCCUCAUGUCCCCUUCCGGAGUCCAGAAGGAGAGAAUGGAACCCAAGGACUUGUACGUGUUGUCUGCAGACGGUUCUACCUUGUCUUCACCGUCUCCGAAGCCUUACCCAAAUAAGGCACCUAAGUGUACGGGCAGCACCGAUGUUUUCUUGAAGGUAUUCGAGUUGCGCAAUCCAGGAGCAGUCAUCCACAGUCACGGAAUGGAAUCAUGCCUUGUAACCAUGAUCAAUCCCUUAGCAAAAGAAUUUAGAAUUACUCAUAUGGAGAUGAUUAAAGGAAUCCAAGGGCAUGGUUAUUAUGAUGAACUUGUGAUCCCAAUCAUAGAGAAAACUGCUCGUGAAUAUGAACUCACAGAAUCUCUUGCAAAAGCGAUAGAAGCAUACCCAAGAUCGACAGCUGUACUUCUUCGGAACCACGGUAUAUAUUCAUGGGGAGACUCAUGGAUCAGUGCUAAAACACAGGCUGAAUGUUACAGUUAUCUCUUUGAUGCUGCAAUCAAACUUAAUCAAAUGGGUUUGGAUUGGUCGUCUCCAAAUCAUGGCCCUCUUCAAUAUGGCAAAGGCACGUUAGCUGAUGGCGGGACAGCUGGAAUAAUCGGAUCUAGUCUUCAAAUGAAGCCACUUCCAAGCUGCAUUCUUCUGGACAUUGAAGGAACCACUACUCCAAUAACAUUCGUGACUGAUGUUCUCUUUCCAUAUGCACGGGAUAAUGUUGCGAGGCAUUUGUCUGCGGCAUUUGAUACUUUAGAAACUCAAGAUGACAUCAAAUUGAUACGGAUCCAGGUCGAAGAUGAUUUGGCAAAAGAUGUUCCUGGGGCCUUACCCAUUCCUCCAGAUGAAGUAGGGAAAGAGAAAGUGAUAGCGGCUUUGGUUGCUAACAUCGAAGCAAUGAUAAAAGCUGAUCGCAAGAUCACUGCCUUGAAACAAUUGCAAGGUCACAUAUGGCGAACUGGGUUUCAGAAUCAGGAAUUGAAGGGCGAAGUAUUUGAGGAUGUACCAGUGGCUCUUGAAAAAUGGAAUGCCCUGGGCAUAAAGGUAUACAUAUAUUCUAGUGGCAGCAGAUUAGCACAAAGACUCUUAUUUGGGAAUACAAAUCAUGGAGAUCUGAGGAAGUAUCUUUAUGGAUUUUUUGACACAACAGUGGGACUUGAGUCAGAGCUUUUGAACUACUCAGGUACUGGAGAUUUAUUUUAUAGCUUAUAUCUUUCGUGUGUAGGAACAAAAAAGAAACAAAUAGUUAUGUCGAGAUAGCGGAGUCACUAGGAGUUGAUAAUCCAUCAGAGAUAUUAUUUCUGACUGAUGUCCAUCAAGAAGCUGUUGCUGCAAAGAAUGCAGGCCUUCAGGUGAUUGUCUCUGUCCGGCCUGGAAAUGGACCUCUUCCAGAAAAUCACGGGUUCAAAACAAUCCAUUCAUUCAUGGAGAUCUGAUGGCAGAAUUUGGCGUAGUUAUCCUGAAUCUGGUAUUGGUAAAUGGCUCAUCGAUUUUCAUGUUAUUUCACUCACAUAAUUGGUUAUGGAUCAGAUGUGUGGUGCGUUUUUUUGUUCCCAUCAUCAUAGCAAGUCAACUGCAUGUUGACCCUUAUUGUGUAUCCUGACAAAGAAAACCCUAUGUAGCUGGUAGACCUAGCAUAUCAAGGAAUGUAUACACAUGUCCUUACUUAUUUUCAUACAUGGAAAACAGAGCAUAGCCACUAACAAA